RNAcentral lists this RNase P RNA (379 nucleotides) under Bacteroidetes bacterium GWA2_40_14. Its description in RNAcentral is "RNase P RNA component class A". It matches the Rfam family "Bacterial RNase P class A". From Rfam's summary of the family: Ribonuclease P (RNase P) is a ubiquitous endoribonuclease, found in archaea, bacteria and eukarya as well as chloroplasts and mitochondria. RNAcentral also lists the same sequence under 7 other names. Lineage: Bacteria; Pseudomonadati; Bacteroidota. The record is from RNAcentral.
UAAGUAAACCGUUCUAUCGCUUUUCAUUUAGUGGAAAGAGGAAAGUCCGGGCAGCAAAGGGCACCGUGCUUCCGAAAGGGAAGAUAUCCGUGAGGGUAUAGUAAGGCAGAAGAAAAUAACCGUCACGCUUUAUGCGUGAUAAGGGUGAGAAGGUGGGGUAAGAGCCCACCAGUACGUUGGGUAACCAAUGUAGCUGUGUCUCUGGCGGGCUGAAAGGCCAUGUACAUCCCAAGUCUGAGCAAUCAGAGCAAAACGGCCCGUUUUGUUUGGUAACAAGUUGGGAGGGGUAGGCCGAUAGUGGUUCCGGGUGACCGGAAUCCCAGAUAAAUGGUAGAACCCUUUCGGGGGACAGAAUCCGGCUUAUAGGUUUACUUAUUUU